RNAcentral lists this ribosomal RNA (234 nucleotides) under uncultured bacterium. Its description in RNAcentral is "partial 16S ribosomal RNA". It matches the Rfam family "Bacterial small subunit ribosomal RNA", at positions 794 to 1026 of the family's 1533-position model. The record is from RNAcentral.
UCCACGCCGUAAACUAUGGAUGCUAGCUGUUAGAAGUAUCGACCCUUCUAGUAGCGAAGCUAACGCGUUAAGCAUCCCGCCUGUGGAGUACGGUCGCAAGACUAAAACAUAAAGGAAUUGACGGGGACCCGCACAAGCGGUGGAGCGUGUUGUUUAAUUCGAUGGUAAGCGAAGAACCUUACCCAGGCUUGACAUCCUUGGAAUUUUGUCGAAAGACGAGAGUGCCUUUUGGAA